Molecule: ribosomal RNA, 195 nt
Filed under: uncultured Geobacter sp.
Lineage: Bacteria; Pseudomonadati; Thermodesulfobacteriota; Desulfuromonadia; Geobacterales; Geobacteraceae
Also listed under: 1 other name
Description: partial 16S ribosomal RNA
Rfam family: Bacterial small subunit ribosomal RNA
Source: RNAcentral
CCUACGGGAGGCAGCAGUGGGGAAUUUUGCGCAAUGGGGGAAAGCCUGACGCAGCAACGCCGCGUGAGUGAUGAAGGCCUUCGGGUCGUAAAGCCCUGUCAGAGGGGAAGAACAACCUGUCGGAUAAUACCUGGCAGGCCUGACGGUACCCUCAGAGGAAGCACCGGCUAACUCCGUGCCAGCAGCCGCGGUAAU